RNAcentral lists this long non-coding RNA (202 nucleotides) under Phaseolus vulgaris (common bean). RNAcentral's name for it is "long non-coding RNA (PVUL_LNC004969)". The record is from RNAcentral. Lineage: Eukaryota; Viridiplantae; Streptophyta; Magnoliopsida; Fabales; Fabaceae.
UUCCUUUUCUUGCACUUUUGUUCGGUUCUUUUCAAUUUCUUACUAUUUUAAUUCAGUUCAGUAGAUCCUUUUCAUGUUUUGUUCGGUUCAAUUGCUUUCUUUAGAGUUUCAAUCGGUUCAUUUACUUUCUUGUUCAAUUUAAUCGGUUCAAUUGGCAAGAAAUGGGUCUUCCAUGUGAGUUUGGUGUUUGGUGCAAGUUUUG